UGGGAGAAGCUAUCAUCUGUCACCCAGGGUGGACGGCUGGCAGGCUCCGCAGGGCCCCCGCUGUAGGCCACCGAGGGUGCAGGGUUAUAGUUGGGGGCAGGUGAGGGGGUAUAGGCUGGUGCUGGGGAUGGAGUGUAGGUGGGGACAGGGGAGGGGGUGUAGGGAGUGGGACUGUAAUUGGCCCCUGGGGACGGGCUGUAGGUAGAUGCAGGCACUG
RNAcentral lists this long non-coding RNA (217 nucleotides) under Homo sapiens (human). Its description in RNAcentral is "HSALNT0165728". The record is from RNAcentral. Lineage: Eukaryota; Metazoa; Chordata; Mammalia; Primates; Hominidae.